GACGAACCGUGCGAACGUUGUUCGGAAUCACUGGGCUUAAAGGGCGCGUAGGCGGGUGCUCAAGUCUGUGGUGAAAUCCUCCGGCUCAACCGGAGAACUGCCAUGGAUACUGGGUGCCUCGAGGGUGGUAGGGGUAUGCGGAACUAUCGGUGGAGCGGUGAAAUGCGUUGAUAUCGAUAGGAACUCCGGUGGCGAAGGCGGCAUACUGGACCACUUCUGACGCUGAGGCGCGAAAGCCAGGGGAGCAAACGGG
RNAcentral lists this ribosomal RNA (253 nucleotides) under uncultured bacterium. RNAcentral's name for it is "partial 16S ribosomal RNA". It matches the Rfam family "Bacterial small subunit ribosomal RNA", at positions 524 to 776 of the family's 1533-position model. The record is from RNAcentral.